This 360-nucleotide ribosomal RNA is filed under the name uncultured bacterium. RNAcentral describes it as "bacterial SSU rRNA". It matches the Rfam family "Bacterial small subunit ribosomal RNA", at positions 559 to 917 of the family's 1533-position model. The record is from RNAcentral.
UGAAAGGCGUGCGUAGGUGGUUUGUUAAGUCUGAUGUGAAAGCCCUGGGCUCAACCUGGGAAUGGCAUUGGAAACUGGCUUACUAGAGUGCGGUAGAGGGUAGUGGAAUUCCCGGUGUAGCAGUGAAAUGCGUAAAUAUCGGGAGGAACAUCUGUGGCGAAGGCGACUACCUGGACCAGCACUGACACUGAGGCACGAAAGCGUGGGGAGCAAACAGGAUUAGAUACCCUGGUAGUCCACGCCCUAAACGAUGCGAACUGGAUGUUGGGAGCAACUUGGCUCUCAGUAUCGAAGCUAACGCGUUAAGUUCGCCGCCUGGGAAGUACGGUCGCAAGACUGAAACUCAAAUGAAUUGACGGA